GGAGUGAAGACUGCUGCCAUGUCCUGCCUGCCAUCAGCUGCACACAGUGGAGUGUUGCUUCAGGACCUUUCUGAUGGUUUGCUUUUUCAGCUUAAUGAAAUUUCUUGAGGAACAUUUCAGAUCAGCAUAUCAGAGUUCCAGCAUUCAUAGCUCUCAGCAAUAAAGGAAGUGUUCUGAACAUACUGGGCUUGGGAGAGGUCUCAGUUUAUAGUUGGCCAAUGACUGCCUCACUGCUUAUAACUUUGCCCUGAUGCUCCCUUAUGCUGAAGAUGAACAGAGAGGAUCUCUCAGGAAUAAAAGCACCUGCAAAGUUCUGCCUGGCUGAGGACCGAGCAGGAUACACCUGGCAGCCAAUAUCUGCCUGGAGGAAGGAAGACAGGCCUGCAACCCAGCAGAGGAGUGCCAGCCCCUCACCUGUGCUCUGCCGUCACACUCAGGUGCACUGUGCGUGGGUCUGCCUGUCAGCUGGCACUGAAUCCUACCACCCCGUUCCAGGCCUGACUAUCUGCUUUGUGUUCCCAGAGACCUGUUGCCCCUGCCUGUGUGCACCCAGGAAGACCCUGGUUUCUAUAACAACAGACCCCGUGCCCCCAGAGUUUCCUCUCACUCUGAGUUUAGGCCACCUGCCAAUCUGCCCCGACUCUGCCCAGCCCUCAUCCUGCCCAUGCUUGUCCCCACCCAGACACCAGCACUGAGCAUCAGUGUUUCCCACGGGUGCAAAGAGGAAAAUGGAGAAUCAGUAAAUGUCAAUAAAAGGAGAGCUUCUGUAAGUCAUUCUAAU
Long non-coding RNA from Bubalus bubalis (water buffalo), 781 nucleotides. RefSeq lists it as uncharacterized. The transcript is spliced from 4 exons. The record is from RefSeq and is a predicted model, not a curated record. NCBI's taxonomy places the organism in Eukaryota, Metazoa, Chordata, Mammalia, Artiodactyla, Bovidae.